RNAcentral lists this ribosomal RNA (393 nucleotides) under uncultured bacterium. RNAcentral describes it as "partial 16S ribosomal RNA". It matches the Rfam family "Bacterial small subunit ribosomal RNA", at positions 523 to 918 of the family's 1533-position model. The record is from RNAcentral.
AUACGGAGGACGCGAGCGUUAUCCGGAUUCAUUGGGUUUAAAGGGUGCGCAGGCGGCCGUGCAAGUCAGCGGUGAAAGCCCGGGGCUCAACCCCGGAAGUGCCGUUGAUACUGCAUGGCUGGAAUGCGGUCGAGGCGGGCGGGACGUGGCGUGUAGGGGGGAAGUGCGUAGAUAUGCCACAGAACGCCGAUAGCGGAGGCGGCUCGCCAGGCCUGCAUGGACGCUCGGGCACGAAAGCGUGGGGAUCGAACAGGAUUAGAUACCCUGGUAGUCCACGCCGUAAACGAUGGGCGCUCGUCGUCGGCGGCAGACAGUCGGCGGCCAAGCGAAAGCGAUAAGCGCCCCACCUGGGGAGUACGGUCGCAAGGCUGAAACUCAAAUGAAUUGACGGGG